RNAcentral lists this ribosomal RNA (485 nucleotides) under uncultured bacterium. RNAcentral's name for it is "bacterial SSU rRNA". It matches the Rfam family "Bacterial small subunit ribosomal RNA", at positions 29 to 507 of the family's 1533-position model. The record is from RNAcentral.
AACGAACGCUGGCGGCAUGCUUUACACAUGCAAGUCGAACGGCAGCGCGGGGGCAACCCUGGCGGCGAGUGGCGAACGGGUGAGUAAUGUAUCGGAACGUAUCCUGUAAUGGGGGAUAACCAGUCGAAAGAUUGGGUAAUACCGCAUACGCACGAGAGUGGAAAGUAGGGGAUCGCAAGACCUUACGUUAUAGGAGCGGCCGAUAUCUGAUUAGCUAGUUGGUGGGGUAAAGGCCUACCAAGGCGACGAUCAGUAGCUGGUCUGAGAGGACGACCAGCCACACUGGGACUGAGACACGGCCCAGACUCCUACGGGAGGCAGCAGUGGGGAAUUUUGGACAAUGGGCGAAAGCCUGAUCCAGCCAUGCCGCGUGCAGGAAGAAGGCCUUCGGGUUGUAAACUGCUUUAGUCUAGGAAAAAGGGGUGCGAGGUUAAUACCCUCGUGCUUUGAUGGUACUGGAAGAAUAAGCACCGGCUAACUACGUG